GGGGAUAUAGCUCAGUGGUAGAGCGUCUGCUUGGCAUGCAUGAGGUUCUGGGUUCAAUCCCCAGUGCCUCCA
Molecule: transfer RNA, 72 nt
Filed under: Camelus bactrianus (Bactrian camel)
Lineage: Eukaryota; Metazoa; Chordata; Mammalia; Artiodactyla; Camelidae
Also listed under: 2 other names
Rfam family: tRNA
About the family: Transfer RNA (tRNA) molecules are approximately 80 nucleotides in length.
Source: Rfam by way of RNAcentral